RNAcentral lists this transfer RNA (71 nucleotides) under Lysobacter defluvii IMMIB APB-9 = DSM 18482. It matches the Rfam family "tRNA". Rfam says of the family: Transfer RNA (tRNA) molecules are approximately 80 nucleotides in length. Their secondary structure includes four short double-helical elements and three loops (D, anti-codon, and T loops). The record is from Rfam by way of RNAcentral. Lineage: Bacteria; Pseudomonadati; Pseudomonadota; Gammaproteobacteria; Lysobacterales; Lysobacteraceae.
GGCCUGAUGGCAGAGUGGUUAUGCAGCGGACUGCAAAUCCGCGUACGCCGGUUCGAUUCCGACUCAGGCCU